Molecule: ribosomal RNA, 483 nt
Filed under: uncultured bacterium
Lineage: Bacteria
Description: partial 16S ribosomal RNA
Rfam family: Bacterial small subunit ribosomal RNA
Source: RNAcentral
AUUGAACGCUGGCGGCAGGCCUAACACAUGCAAGUCGAGCGGAUGAAGGGAGCUUGCUCCUGGAUUCAGCGGCGGACGGGUGAGUAAUGCCUAGGAAUCUGCCUGGUAGUGGGGGAUAACGUCCGGAAACGGGCGCUAAUACCGCAUACGUCCUGAGGGAGAAAGUGGGGGAUCUUCGGACCUCACGCUAUCAGAUGAGCCUAGGUCGGAUUAGCUAGUUGGUGGGGUAAAGGCCUACCAAGGCGACGAUCCGUAACUGGUCUGAGAGGAUGAUCAGUCACACGGGAACUGAGACACGGGCCAGACUCCUACGGGAGGCAGCAGUGGGGAAUAUUGGACAAUGGGCGAAAGCCUGAUCCAGCCAUGCCGCGUGUGUGAAGAAGGUCUUCGGAUUGUAAAGCACUUUAAGUUGGGAGGAAGGGCAGUAAGUUAAUACCUUGCUGUUUGGACGUUACCAACAGAAUAAGCACCGGCUAACUUCGU